Balaenoptera ricei (Rice's whale) is the source of this 1669-nucleotide long non-coding RNA. RefSeq lists it as uncharacterized. The transcript is spliced from 4 exons. The record is from RefSeq and is a predicted model, not a curated record. Lineage: Eukaryota; Metazoa; Chordata; Mammalia; Artiodactyla; Balaenopteridae.
CCGUUUUCCUCCCGGCCUCCGCUCUGCGGCAGGUCAGAGGGGCCCGGCGUCUGGGGUCUUCGGGACCAAAGGAAGGAUGCUGGCAGAAGUGGAAGGGUCGGUGCACGCGGGGAGCUGGGACGCGGCGCUGGCGGGUCCGCGGGCGCUGAGGCGGGACGUCUCUCCUGCGGACUGCGGGGCUAGGACCGAGCCCCCGGGUCUAGGACGGUGGGCGCGAGCAGACCUCCCCUCCCACCACCCAAGAGCCCCAAGGAGAGGGUGGGUGGCUGUGUCGGGGCGCCGGAGCAGAAUAAACCACACCCCCUGACCGGAGCCCGAGAGGAAAGAAGCCCCACGGAGGGCGUGAGGUGAGCCGAGACUGCUGCGAACCCAUUCCCCAAAUGCUUCUCUGCACCGACUGGACUCCGUCGGGCCUGCGGAGCCCGAGGAGGCGCGCGUGGCCAGGUGGCGAGCGCCCCCUGCCGCCACCCGCCUGCCGAGCUCGUCUGCGACCAGCCAGAGUCCCGCCUCCUGCCGCGUCCCGGGGCCACUGAGAAGGCUCCCAAGCCCGGGGCGGGGGGCAAGCGCGUUCUCAGAGCCUGGGAUUGACGACUUCAGCUUUCCUGCUUCUCCUGCAGCUGCCUCAGUUUCCUCCAUUAACGGCAAAGAGAGCCCCUAAUGCUGUAACCCCAGCCUAGACCCAGGCCUUACGUCGCUAGCCCGCAGCUGUGCACGGCAUCCUCUGUAUAAAGCAUCGAUCCACUUCUGAAAGGGCUGUUUGCUCUGCCAGAAACGCCCUCCUUACCCUUCCUUCUGUGCUUGGUGGACCCCUACUCUGUCUUCAAGGUCUGCUCACCUGUCACCACCUCUCAGGCAGAGGGAGUUACCCUGCCCUCCCUCAGUGCCAAUUUCACGCUCGGAGCAAGAUGGAGUCCGAUGGUUUGUUGCACCACCCCCUCCAUCAGAGCAGACAUCCCUUCUCUGUCCCCAGUACCUGGCCAAGAUUGUGGAAAGGUGAAGAGUAAUGGUAACAGGCAUCAGCAGAUGACAUACACGGGACACGGGUUCGAGCUCUGGUCUGGGAAGAUCCCACAUGCCAUGGAGCAGCUAGGCCCGUGAGCCACAAUUACUGAGCCUGCGCGUCUGGAGCCUGUGCUCCACAACAAGAGAGGCCGCGAUAGUGAGAGGCCCGUGCACCGCGAUGAAGAGUGGCCCCCACUUGCCGCAACUAGAGAAAGCCCUCGCACAGAAACGAAGACCCAACACAGCCAAAAAUAAAUAAAUAAAUUAAUUAAAAAAAAAAAAAGGAUUUCUGAAAGUCCUGGAACCACUUCUCCAGGUCUGAAAGGUGAGACUGGCCCCACUGCCUCCUGGGCCAGGGUUCCAGCAGCUCAAGGUGCUGCUGUCCCUGCCCUGAGGGCCCAUGGGGAUGAUCCCCAACCAGGCUUCACCCCCCAGCUUUCACCAGAAGCUCCAGCCUUUCAAAUCCCUGGGACUCUUACCCCAGACCACCCUGUAUGACCCAGCCUCCCCACCUCCCCAGACCCUUGAGCCGUGCCCUCUGUGAUGUAAGUCAAUCAUUCUCUCUCCCUCCAUCACAGCUCUCCUGACAAAACCCCAACCCUGGUCAAACCUAAAUCAUCCACCCUGCCUUUGACCAAGCAGCUGCUUUUUCCAGAGCAGAACACGC